CCAAUAGCGUAUAUUAAAGUUGUUGCAGUUAAAAAGCUCGUAGUUGAACUUCAGGCCUGGCUGGGCGGUCCGCCUUCCGGGCGAGUACUGCCUGUGGUCGGGUCCUACCUUCUGGCGAAGCGUCAUGGCCUUAACCGGCCGUGGCGGGGAACCAGGACUUUUACUGUGAAAAAAUUAGAGUGUUCAAAGCAGGCACGCGCUUGAAUGCAUUAGCAUGGAAUAAUGGAAUAGGACAGUGGUUCUAUUUGUUGGUUUCUAGGACCGUUGUAAUGAUUAAUAGGGAUAGUUGGGGGAAUUAGUAUUCAAUUGUCAGAGGUGAAAUUCUUGGAUUUAUUGAAGACUAACUACUGCGAAAGCAUUUGCCAAGGAUGUUUUCAUUAAUCAAGAACGAAAGUUAGGGGAUCGAAGACGAUCAGAUACCGUCGUAGUCUUAACCAUAAACUAUGCCGACUAGGAAUCGGGCGAUGUUGACAAAAUGACGCGCUCGGCACCUCAUG
Molecule: ribosomal RNA, 497 nt
Filed under: uncultured Glomeromycotina
Lineage: Eukaryota; Fungi; Glomeromycota
Description: partial small subunit ribosomal RNA
Rfam family: Eukaryotic small subunit ribosomal RNA
Source: RNAcentral